Molecule: ribosomal RNA, 640 nt
Filed under: uncultured bacterium
Lineage: Bacteria
Description: bacterial SSU rRNA
Rfam family: Bacterial small subunit ribosomal RNA
Source: RNAcentral
GCACGGGUGCUUGCACCUGGUGGCGAGUGGCGAACGGGUGAGUAAUGCGUCGGAACGUACCGAGUAGUGGGGGAUAACGCAGCGAAAGUUGUGCUAAUACCGCAUAUUCUGUGAGCAGGAAAGCGGGGGAUCUUCGGACCUCGCGCUAUUCGAGCGGCCGACGUCUGAUUAGCUAGUUGGUGGGGUAAUGGCUCACCAAGGCGACGAUCAGUAGCGGGUCUGAGAGGAUGAUCCGCCACACUGGGACUGAGACACGGCCCAGACUCCUACGGGAGGCAGCAGUGGGGAAUUUUGGACAAUGGGCGAAAGCCUGAUCCAGCCAUGCCGCGUGUCUGAAGAAGGCCUUCGGGUUGUAAAGGACUUUUGUCAGGGAGGAAAUCCCCAGGGCUAAUACCCUUGGGGGAUGACAGUACCUGAAGAAUAAGCACCGGCUAACUACGUGCCAGCAGCCGCGGUAAUACGUAGGGUGCAAGCGUUAAUCGGAAUUACUGGGCGUAAAGCGUGCGCAGGCGGUUGGUUAAGCAAGAUGUGAAAGCCCCGGGCUCAACCUGGGAACUGCGUUUUGAACUGGCCAGCUAGAGUACGUCAGAGGGGGGUGGAAUUCCGCGUGUAGCAGUGAAAUGCGUAGAGAUGCGGAGGA